GAGCACUGGGGGCCGGCUGCUCCCCGCCACGGCUCGGAGCUGGGGGUCGGCAGUGCGGGCGGGGGCGAACGCGAUCGCGGAGGGGAACGGGGCUCUCCGCGCCGAGUAUGCGUCCUGCGGCGGUCUGCUUUUCUCGGGCUCGGGUUAAAUCGCUCUGUAAGUCUGUCUUGAGUCCGCAGCUAGUGGCCCACUCCGCUGUCUCUUCCUCCUGUUGCAGGUCUGUUUCUGGCUCUCUGCCCUCUUGGGUCCACGCGUCCGCCAGCACACACGCGCAAUCUGGAGUGUACGUGACUGAAGGUUAAUCAUCAGAGGUUCCUGUUGUGGUUCGAUUAAAUUGUCCAAGGCUCUGCCAACACAACUCUUCCCUCUUUAGCAAAUAACUGAGAUGGGACUAGUGGGUUUAAAAGGGUUGCAGUUCCCCAGUGCCUGGUCCAGGCGGCAUCAGUGUGUAUGGGAGAAUGGGCGAGAUAUUCCGAGGUGCUAAAUGGGACAGGUUAGGAGAAAAAUGAUUUCAAUGGAGAAGUAGUUUGCUUUUGACCGCCAAAACUCUGCAGUCAGAAACACCCCAGAAGUAUCUUGACUUACUAGGUAAAUCUAAGUGUGUGGAUGACAAAGUAAGAUAUAUAAAAGCAGCUUGAACAAGGCUUUCACUUUGAAGGUCUGACUUUAUUCGAAAGCAGCCCCAUGUACCUCUUGUGUUAUGCGUCUGUAUGCUGUAUUCUUACUGAUUGAAAAUACACUUCACCAACAGAUGGUCGUUUAUGGUUUGAAAAAAAAUCAAGCAAAAACAAAUCUAAAUCUAGAUUAGCAUGACUAGGCAAGCCAUUGCAUAUGUAUACUCAUUUUUUUAGUUUCAGUAGGCAAUCCUUAUUAUAUAAUGCUUAUUCAGCUCUACAAAUAGAAGCUUCAUUGCAGGAUAUUUAUGGUCUAUGCAACUAGCAGUGGAAUUCUGUAUUAUAAAUCAUUCAAUUUCAAAAAAUAGCAAGAUAUUUAAAGAGAAAAAGUAAUGUUACUCUUGUUCUUAGGACUGAACCUACUUUAUUACCCUAAAAUGAAGUUCCAGGUGUAUUUAUUUGUUAUGUAUAAAACAUUACUGCCAUUCACAGAGUACUGUAUUCCAGGACCUUUAUCAAGCUCUAUGUGCAUGCUCUAAUUUGAACCCCACCAAUCCUUUGAAGUAAGUGUUAUACCAAUAGUGUGGAUGCAGAAAUGAAGACUCAGGUUAAGUAACUUGGCGAAGCAGAUUCUGGAUUGUCAGGCAACAGAGUGCAUCCUCAGAGAUGACCAUCCUACUUGUAUUCAUUUGUAAGUGGUUUGAUUAUAUUAGGCCUGGAAACUUUUAUUUAUAUGCCACUAAAAAUAGUCAGGAUAAGAAACAGCCCUCCAGAGGACAUUUUAUGUAUCAUUGUUUGUGUCCCAAAUUUUGAGAGAUAGCAGUUGGGGUGUAUGGGGAGAUGAUUCUAAGUGCUAUGGUGGAAGGUGGUAGAAAGUGACCUCAAGAUAAUUAUAUAAAGAGCCAGGCACAGUGCAACAUGCCUGAAAUCCUAGUAACUCAGGAGGCUGAGGCAGUAGGAUUGCAAGACCAAAGCUAGCCUCAGCAAUUUAGUGAGGGCUCAAAUAACUUAGUGAGACCCUGUCUCAAAAUAAAGUAUAAAAAUGCGUUGGGGAGAUGGCUCAGUGAUUAGACCCCCCUGGGUUCAAUCCCUUAUAUCAAAUAAUAAUAAUAAUGUAAAGAUCAUGACUGAAGCUCAACUAUAAGGAACAGAAUGAGUAGUCCAAGCAGUAUUUCUUUCUAAGCAUUUCUUUAAAGACGAGUUGGAUAUCUAUUAUUAAUCAGGACCAUAAUAAAAUAGCAGAGUAUUUAUGUUAUAGUUAUAACCCCUUAGUGAUUGUGAAAUUCAUUUAGUGUGUCAUGAUGGGUGUUUUAAAAAAUAAAACAUUAGAAAACAUCAGAAUACAUUGCCCAAUGUAAGUAAUGUGUAUUGUUUUGUGAAAUUUUGGUUUUAUUUAUGUGUGUAUGUGUAUGGAUGCACAAGUAUCCAUUGUCAAGUCACAAUAUAAAAGGAAUUUCUUUGGUUGCUAUUGGAAAAGCUCGAAAUACAUUGUGAUAGGAAAAUACAGAACUUAAGAAGCCAGAUGCCAGCUGUAAAAGAAAGAAAAAAAUGUGU
RNAcentral lists this long non-coding RNA (2168 nucleotides) under Marmota monax (woodchuck). Lineage: Eukaryota; Metazoa; Chordata; Mammalia; Rodentia; Sciuridae. The record is from RNAcentral.